Molecule: transfer RNA, 63 nt
Filed under: Syndesmis kurakaikina
Lineage: Eukaryota; Metazoa; Platyhelminthes; Rhabdocoela; Umagillidae
Description: tRNA-Glu
Source: RNAcentral
CUUAAUUUGGUGUGUAGCAUAUUGAAUUUUCUAUUCAAAGGUAGAGUUUAACUUUAAUUAAGA